Molecule: long non-coding RNA, 2108 nt
Organism: Patella vulgata (common limpet)
Lineage: Eukaryota; Metazoa; Mollusca; Gastropoda; Patellidae
Exons: 4
Source: RefSeq, a predicted model, not a curated record
CCGCUAAUUCAGCAAUCUAAUGAAUCUGUCUUAAUUUUUCUGAAAUCGUGCUUAAUUAUUAUUAGCUAAUCGGCGCUACACCGUUGUUCAAAUACUUAUAAUUGCAAGAAACCCCCGACUAGGACCAGCAGGUAAGAAUCUGUCUUGAUUUUAUAGUAAUGCCCGGUUGCAAUUAUUGGCCGCCAUCUUUGAUUUUUAUAGACGUUCGGGCCAAAAAAAAGGAGAAAUGUAUAUCCAGACAUGGACUAUAGCUAGAUACUAACUUUUGUGUUAGUUGUUUAUUUGAAAUGUAAUCUUAAUAUUUCUGUAAAAGAAAAAAACAACAACAAACAAAUCAGCCUUUUUUUUAUAUCAAUGUCAUCAAUGUGUAGGCCUAAUAAUUAGACUUUCAAUGAUUCAGAAGUUUCUCUACAGUUUCGUUAUUUUUUUUCCAGUCAUUGAUGUUAGCAUAUGUACUACACAAAGAAAAACAGUUUCCAUAUUAGAUGCCAUAGCAAAUCAAAGAUCAUAUAAUAAAAUAAGUCAAAAAACCCAAAUAUGGGAAAAAAAAGAGCUGAAGAAAUGGUGAUUUGAGCACCUAUGAUUUCUCAUAGUUGUUUUUUGAGGAAAGAUCAAGACAGUUGAAAAUGGCUAUUCAUAUUAUGGAAACUUUUUCUCACAGAGCUUGAUAAUCAGGUAAAAUGCUGGAACACCCUUGAAAGAGUAUUUGGUGUAUGAUAACAACAAGAGAACCCAAGCAUCAAUUUAUUUUAUACUUCUGGGAAAGAAUGCAUUUGACCCAAUUUUUAAAUAUUUAUUUUUUGUUAUUAAUGUUAAAUUUUCUUCCAAAACACAAUUAGAUUUUAAUUCUCUUCAAAUAUGUAUGUAUAAUAUAGCAAGUAAACUGACAUAUAAAUCACUUAGAAUUUGGUCGGAAAUCAUAAAGUAUUUAAUAGGCAUUACUAGAAACCAAAUGUAGAUCAAAUACACCCAGAAUUACAAAAAACCUUGACCUACAUUAAGGUGACUUUCCCUUGCUUAUGAAAUGAAAUACGUUUUAAUAUCCUGCUUUUCUGUGUUCUUAGAGUGAUUCUACCCUACCCUUAUAUCAAAUAUUUCAACUGUCAAGGGUUCUUUAAAGGGUACCCAGGGGGGCCGAAUGGUUAACACGCACACAUUUGAUCAGAAGGUCUGUCAUUGAUUCAAAUAAUUCAAUUUUCAAGGGUUCUUCAAAGUGUACGCAGUUGGGUUGGUUUCAGUUCUGGGGGGUGGGGGUGGAUGGCCGAAUGGUUAGCACGUGCAUGCUGUAUCAUACGGCCUCCUGUCAUUGAGUCAACUGGCAUGGUUUCGAAUCCCCGGUUGUAGACAAGGAGUAGGGUCGCCUGUCCAAUCUUGUGGGUUUUCUCCGGGACCUCCGGUUUCCUCCCACUGCUAAAGACCCCUACGCGCUAGCGAAUUAUUGAAAUAAAAUUAAACCAUAUGUUAAUCCCAAAAUGAUCUAGUUUGUGUCGAGUAGAUGUUAAACCCCAUUUCUCUCUGUCUCUCUCUCUUUUGAUUCUGGGCUUGUACCCAAUUAUCCCUUGCCAUAUCCAACACUGAAAAGUGGGAACUAUGCCGGAAAAUCCAGUUGAAAUUUCGCGGCCAACGCCUUAUGCUCACUGAACCACUGUGGCUUAUGACUUGUGAUUGUAUAUAAAUCUUUUGUACAUAUGAUAUUUUUUUAUUUCAAUCCUGUAAUCUUGAUGCUUUGCUUCUUUUAUUUAUAAAAUAUUCAUUUUGUUUGGGUUUUUUUUAAUGAGGAAAAGGCUCUACAUCAUUUUAUUACUCCUGCAAAAUAGAGCAAUUUUCUUUUGUUAGUUUUCUGUGUAUGCUAGUUAUUUCUAGAUGCCUCACAAAUCACUUGUAGUGUGAUUUUGUAGCAUUUUUCAGUUUUUGAAAUUGUUUCAAUUUAGUGCAUAAUUAAUCUUAUUAGUGCUUAGUUUGGAUGUUAUUAAAUUUAGAUAUAUUUGAAUUAUAUAUUUUGGGGUAUGGGGUAGGGAUACUGUGUACAUAUCUUUAUAUUCUCAGUUCUUGUUUUGGGGUAAAGAACAAUUUAAAUAGCUAUUUUAUAUUUUGUGAUGGGUUAAGUG